UAGAAACAGAAAAAAAAAAUGGUAAUGGCAUGAAAUAAGCAUUUGCAAACCCAUUUCGGAAGACGGGAAAUGCUUGAUUUACCUCGGGCACCCAUCAUGUUCUGUAUCUCAGAUCGAAGUAGAUAAAUGGCAAAGGCAAAUGGAUAUUUGGGGGGAAAUCUAUAGCCUUUCUGUCAACUGUGCGAGUUAAAUGUUUGGAAUAAAAACGCAGAGAGCGUCUGUGGGAGGGGAAGCCGUGGUCCAGCAGCAGCCCGGGCCCUGGACUGCGGGCUUCCCCGUGGGCCCGGCCCUGCCCUGGCGCCGGCUGUGCCUUCACCCGUGUCAGUGGGGUCGCAGAUGCCGGCCAGAUGCCUGCAUUUCGCACCACGCAGAGAUCAGUACGUGGAACUGGCCACGGUGUCAGGAGCCACGUCUACACCCAAAGAGAGCAUUGAAGCGAGCCCAAACCUCGUUCUCCUAAACCGCUGCCCCCCGAGUCGCUCCGGGAACCGCCCCCUCUGCGUGUUUUCCCUUCCGCUCACAACGGCCGCGAGGGGAGCGCCAGGUGGGACCCGACGGCCGCCCACAUCUCGGGGCCUCAGGCCCGGCAGGGGGUCACUGGCCGGACCACUGGGUGCCUCUGAGCUCCCGUGUGCACGUCUCCAAACGAGCGUAGGCACCCCGAGCCCGCGGCGAUCAAAUGGGGUCACGAAUACAGGGACCGACCGUGCGCAGCGGGCAGAGAAUAGGGACAAUCGCUGCGCUGGUCAUCACCACCGGGGACUUGCUGACCCGGUGACACUGGGCUGUGUGUCAGCCCUGUCCUGGGCGACCCCGGGGCCAAGACGCUGCAGCUCGGCCCCCAGAGGAUGCGUGUUCCUGGGAGCGACAGAGAAGGAAGAAAUGCUCCUUCCUGGGGGUCUCUGUGUGUCCACGUGGGCAGGGGAGGCAGAGGGGCGAGCCGCGUCCACGGGGCAGGAUCGUGGAGAAGGCAGGAGGGCCUGUGGAGGUGAGGCCCAGGGGUGGCAGGCCGUGGGCGUCGGGCCAGGAGGGUCUCGGGUGGCCUCCAGGAGGGGCUCCUUUCCACCCCGCAGCCCCCCAGGCAGGCUCCCUGCGGCGCCCCCAGUCCCCACC
This 1113-nucleotide long non-coding RNA is filed under the name Vulpes vulpes (red fox). RNAcentral's name for it is "lncRNA (ENSVVUG00000016867.1)". The record is from RNAcentral. Lineage: Eukaryota; Metazoa; Chordata; Mammalia; Carnivora; Canidae.